CAAUAAGUUACUCAAGCGCGCAUAAAGGAUGCCUUGACAUAAGACACCGACGAAGGACGUAGUAGGCUGCGAUAAGCCUCGGGGAGCUGCCAACAAGCUUUGAACCGAGGAUGUCCGAAUGGGGAAACCUUCCGCCUGUAAUGUGGCGGAGCGCCUAGCUGAAUCUAUAGGCUGGGAAAGCGGUAAGCUGGGGAACUGAAACAUCUUAGUACCCAGAGGAAGAGAAAGUAAACAACGAUGCCGGUAGUAGUGGCGAGCGAACCCGGUACAGCCCAAACCUUAACCAUUUCCAUCUAUUUAUUUAGAUGGAUAAGUUGGUAGACGAAAAUGUUUAAGGGGUUGUGACAAGUAAUUAACCAGUGCCCAGUUCUGGAUCGCUGUACAGCGAUUUCCAGGUUUGGGUAUUGGAAACAGGUGCUACCAUCAGCCUGUAAAGGGUAAGAAAUUUCCGAGGCAAGCAGAACGAUCUGGAAAGGUCGGCCAUAGACUGUGAAAGCCAGGUAUGCCAAGCGUCGGAAACCCUUUUAUUACUUAGUCCGCCUAUGGCGGACGUGUCGAGUAGGACGGGACACGUGAAACCCUGUCUGAAACCGGAGGGUCCACCCUCCAAGGCUAAAUAUGUCUUAUGAUCGAUAGUGAACAAGUACCGUGAGGGAAAGGUUAAAAGAACCCCGGGUAGGGGA
RNAcentral lists this ribosomal RNA (683 nucleotides) under Deltaproteobacteria bacterium. RNAcentral's name for it is "partial 23S ribosomal RNA". It matches the Rfam family "Bacterial large subunit ribosomal RNA", at positions 1 to 537 of the family's 2925-position model. The record is from RNAcentral. Lineage: Bacteria; Pseudomonadati; Myxococcota; Myxococcia.